CAGCCGCCGCGGUAAUACGUAGGUGGCAAGCGUUGUCCGGAAUUAUUGGGCGUAAAGGGCUCGCAGGCGGUUUCUUAAGUCUGAUGUGAAAGCCCCCGGCUCAACCGGGGAGGGUCAUUGGAAACUGGGAAACUUGAGUGCAGAAGAGGAGAGUGGAAUCCCACGUGUAGCGGUGAAAUGCGUAGAGAUGUGGAGGAACACCAGUGGCGAAGGCGACUCUCUGGUCUGUAACUGACGCUGAGGAGCGAAAGCGUGGGGAGCGAACAGGAUUAGAUACCCGCGUAGUCCCUGUCUCUUAUAC
This 301-nucleotide ribosomal RNA is filed under the name uncultured bacterium. RNAcentral describes it as "partial 16S ribosomal RNA". It matches the Rfam family "Bacterial small subunit ribosomal RNA", at positions 509 to 807 of the family's 1533-position model. The record is from RNAcentral.